This is a small nuclear RNA of Otolemur garnettii (small-eared galago), 106 nucleotides long. The record is from Ensembl. Lineage: Eukaryota; Metazoa; Chordata; Mammalia; Primates; Galagidae.
GUGCUCACUUCGGCAGCACAAGUACUAUAAUUGAAUGAUACAGAGAAGAUUAGUAUGGCCCCUGCACAAGGAUGAUACGCAAAUUCGUGACGUGUUCCAUAUUUUU